CUCAACAAAGUCAAUCCUGGUGCUAUCCUCAAGGUGAUGGUCAUGCUUGAAGCACUAAUUCUAACCUUAACUGUGGUUUGCUCUAUAACUGGAUGCACCUUUUGGGCUUCUAAGAAUGGUCAAGACUUCAGCUUUUUGGGACUAAUUUUAUUCACCAGCCUUAUUAUGCUCAUCCUAACCAGUUGUAUCCAGGUUAGAUGUCUCAUUUCUCUUUGUUUAUUGAAGCCAUCCAGCCAUGGAUACAGUAGUUUACAAAUAUUGGGAAAUAUAUAGUAUUUUUCUUGCUUUUAUGUUUUAUUAUGAAGGUGUUUCUGUGGCAAUAUAAAAGAUACAAGGUUUUCUUAACUCAAGUAUGAUCCCAAGCCAUUUGCAAUACUGUUCGACUGCAUCAACACAGAGGCCUGCUUCUAGUUUUUGUUAAGAGUUAUUUGAUUUUAUGAUAAUUUAAUUAAAUCUAAAUGUAAUGCUAUUAAUUGUCUUUAAAAAUCUAAUAAAAUAGGUUAUUAACGUUUAAAAAGUUGGAUAAGCCCAUUUUUCAGCUUUCUAAUCCACGGGGUCAUUGCAGUUCUUUUCUUCCUUGUCAAUUUGAGUGAAUAUUCUGCAUUUGUAUUUACUAUUUAAAUAUUAAAUUGAGUGAAUAUUCAGUGCCUUCAAACAGGUGUUUUGGCUUGGGAACAUUACUGUACCUGGUUUUUUCUCUGUUCCUAAACUUUGGUUUUGUGAUUUUUGAAUUCACUACAUCUGCUGAUUGCCCUUUGUGGUGUUGUUGAGUGCUUUGAUAAUUUUAGAAGAAGUUUAUAUUGUGAGACGGAUAUUUGCUAUUGUAUUGUGGGUGCCUGCUCAGUAUUGGUUCCACAAAAUGGCAGAAAGUAAGACCAUGGUUGCUGACGUGAUUCCAGUGAUGACAAACAGUUUUUGAUCACUGGUUCUUCUUUUCUUCCCUUUUGAAAGGGCAUCAGCUGAACCAAGCAAGAGGAAGUCUUGCUUGCUUCCAGAAAAAAAGCUUUUUUAUCACUCAGAAGUCGGAAUGGUAAAUGAUGCCAUCUUCCACCAUUUUUUCUUUUUAACAAUCUCUAUUUAGUUAUGCAAUUUUCAAGAAUCGUAAAAAAUGUUAGUAUACAUUUAUGGCAAUUACCAGGACUGAUGGCUAUUGUUAUUCUUAGGAGAAAAUAUGGUUUAGGGAAUUUGUAAGUCUCAUUGUUUUGAAUGUUAAAAGAAGUACAAGUUUUAGUCCUGUGAAAUCACUGAAAAAGUGAAAAUAUAUCCAUAUUCAAUUAGAAUAAAUAUGGACCACUAGCAUUUUUUUUUUUUUUUAGAGCUAGAAAAUUUCUACACUGACCAUGUAAGUUAAUGACAAGAUAUGAGCUUCCUUUUAGUUCCCUGCCUGUGAAGACCUGCAUCCUGAUGCAAAUCCUUCUUUAGCAGAACCUAAAGGGAGAGAAAAGAGAAUCUAGAGGGUGUAUUCUAGAAGAAGCAAGAAAGUUGUGGAAGGAGGCCAGGUCAGCUUAAUUCCGUUGGAGUGAUUCUCAGGAGUAUGCGAUGCAGCAGCUAGGAAAGCUUAUAUUGAGAGAAUAGAGUUGAGUGGGGGUCAUAACUAUUUUGUGGCUAUUUUCUUCCAGCUAAUAGAUAGCUUGGGGGCAGUGUGAUUACUGCUGGGGUGGGAGAAAGAUCUUGUAUCCAAUUUCACCUGUAUUUUGAAUAUUGAUAAAAAAAAUUCCUCCAUUCUCAUUGCUGCUGCAAUACUCUGUCAUUAUCUCAGUUCCUAACUUGUUUUAGCACUUUUUGAUUCCUUACUCUUUAUCACAUCCGUUGAAGAAGAAUAUGAAGCUGCUGGCGGUGAAGUUCUACUUGAUAAUGAAGAUAAUGAUGGCUGGCUGGCAACUCAUGGGAAACCAAAAGAAACAAAAGGUGAUGAGGAUGAUAAUGUACCGUCGAUGGAGGCCCUAGAGAUCAGCAAAAAGAAUCAUAUUCAAUCAAUACCCUCAUACUUUGGGGGUGAAGAGGAAGAAGAUAUUCCAGACAUGGCAGACUAUGAAGACACUAACAAUCUAAUUGAAACAGAUCCUGCAACACUUCAGUCUGCUUAUCUUGUAGCUCAUGAACCUGAUGAUGACAAUAUUUUACGUACUCGAACAUAUGAUGUCAGCAUCACGUAUGAUAAAUAUUAUCAAACUCCUCGUGUAUGGCUCACUGGAUAUGAUGAGGUUUGUGUUGAUGAGAUUUUUGUUGCUUUUAUUUGUUGCUUAAUAAUUAUUGGGGGGAAAAAUUAUUUUAAACCAAUGAGACAGCAAAUAAAAAUUCACCUGGCUGCAGGUUAUGAUUUGUUGGUAUUAAUAAUUUGUAGAGUCGAUUGCUGAAAUCUAUAGGCUGGUAUCAACAUUUGAAAGGAUUUAACUGGUUCAAUAUGUCAACUGAUAUCUUGUUC
This 2425-nucleotide unclassified non-coding RNA is filed under the name Hevea brasiliensis (rubber tree). The record is from RNAcentral. Lineage: Eukaryota; Viridiplantae; Streptophyta; Magnoliopsida; Malpighiales; Euphorbiaceae.